RNAcentral lists this ribosomal RNA (676 nucleotides) under uncultured bacterium. RNAcentral's name for it is "bacterial SSU rRNA". It matches the Rfam family "Bacterial small subunit ribosomal RNA", at positions 80 to 750 of the family's 1533-position model. The record is from RNAcentral.
UUCGUCCCCAGUAAAGCGGCGCACGGGUGAGUAACACGUAGGUAAUCUAUCCUCGGGUGGUGGAUAACAUUCCGAAAGGAGUGCUAAUACAGCAUAACACCGCAAGGACAAAGCGGGCCUCUCUAUAGAAGCUCGCGCCUGAGGAUGAGCCUGCGGCCCAUCAGCUAGUUGGUAGUGUAAAAGACUACCAAGGCUAAGACGGGUAGCUGGUCUGAGAGGAUGAACAGCCACACUGGAACUGAGACACGGUCCAGACUCCUACGGGAGGCAGCAGUAGGGAAUCUUGCGCAAUGGGCGAAAGCCUGACGCAGCGACGCCGCGUGAGUGAUGAAGGCCUUCGGGUUGUAAAGCUCUGUGGGGAGAGAAGAAUAAGUGCAAGCUAAUACUUUGCACGAUGACGGUAUCUCCUUAGCAAGCACCGGCUAACUCUGUGCCAGCAGCCGCGGUAAGACAGAGGGUGCAAACGUUGUUCGGAAUCACUGGGCGUAAAGCGCGUGUAGGCGGCUUCUCAAGUCGGGUGUGAAAUCCCAGGGCUCAACCCUGGAAGUGCAUUCGAAACUGGGUAGCUAGAGUACUGGAGAGGAAGGUGGAAUGCUUGGUGUAGAGGUGAAAUUCGUAGAUAUCAAGCGGAACACCGGUGGCGAAGGCGGCCUUCUGGACAGAUACUGACGCUGAG